RNAcentral lists this transfer RNA (66 nucleotides) under Pteroptyx maipo. RNAcentral's name for it is "tRNA-Ala". The record is from RNAcentral. Lineage: Eukaryota; Metazoa; Arthropoda; Insecta; Coleoptera; Lampyridae.
AGGAUAAUAGUUAAAAUUAACAUUUAAUUUGCAUUUAAAAUAUAAUUGGAAUUCCAAUUUAUCUUA